This 272-nucleotide long non-coding RNA is filed under the name Manacus vitellinus (golden-collared manakin). RNAcentral describes it as "lncRNA (ENSMVIG00005011506.1)". The record is from RNAcentral. Lineage: Eukaryota; Metazoa; Chordata; Aves; Passeriformes; Pipridae.
GGAUGUGGCACAUGGCUUGAGCCUACUCUUGAGGUUCUCCAGUGAUCUGCUGGUUAGAGGCACAGCUCAUCUACCUGCAUAUUCUGGAGCUGAAAUGUCCACCUAUGGAGGAGGUUCAAUGAAUUUCAGAUUUGUACAACAGAAGAAGAAACAAUGUGAUGAGAAGUCUACCUCUUCAAAAGUUACAGAGCAUGAUGGUACUGUAGAAACCAGGGCAACAAAUGCUGAAUGUUUAAAGAACUGCUUUGCAUAAUGGAGAUUGGCACCAAAAG